CCUACGGGUGGCAGCAGUGAGGAAUAUUGGUCAAUGGGCGGGAGCCUGAACCAGCCAAGUAGCGUGAAGGAUGACAGCCCUAUGGGUUUUAAACUUCUUUUAUAAGGGAAUAAAGUGCCCCACGUGUGCGGUUUUGUAUGUACCUUAUGAAUAAGCAUCGGCUAAUUCCGUGCCAGCAGCCGCGGUAAUACGGAAGAUUCGAGCGUUAUCCGGAUUUAUUGGGGUAAAAGGGGGCGUAGGGGGUUCGAUAAGUCCGCGGUAAAAUCGUGGGGCUCAACCGUACCGUGCAGUUGAAACUGGGGGACUGGAGUAUGCGCGAGGUAGGUGGAAUUCGUGGUGUAGCGGUGAAAUGCUUAGAUAUCACGAAGAACUCCGAUCGCGAAGGCAGUGUACCGGAGCGAGACUGACGCUGAGGCUCGAAAGUGCGGGUAGCAAACAGGAUUAGAUACCCGGGUAGUC
Molecule: ribosomal RNA, 459 nt
Filed under: uncultured bacterium
Lineage: Bacteria
Description: partial 16S ribosomal RNA
Rfam family: Bacterial small subunit ribosomal RNA
Source: RNAcentral